Molecule: non-coding RNA, 45 nt
Organism: Schistosoma mansoni
Lineage: Eukaryota; Metazoa; Platyhelminthes; Trematoda; Strigeidida; Schistosomatidae
Source: Rfam
AUCUAGCUGACGAGUUUCAAAUAAGAUGAAAUGUGCGUCCUGCAU